UUUAAAAAUAAUUAACACCAACAUUUUUCAAAUUGUUUCAAAAAUUGAGGAAGAAAGAAUACAUCAAAAUUUAUGUUAUGAGGCCAAUAUUACCCUGAUACCAAAGUCACACAAAAAUACCACAAGAAAAGAAAACUAUAGGGCAAUAUCUCUAAUAAAUACAGAAGCAAAAAUCAACAAUAAAAUACUACCGAGCUGAAUUUAAGAGUACAUUUAAAGGAUGUGCUAUAUCAUAACCUAUAUCAUUGUCUGUAUCACAACCAAGAGGGAUUUACCUCUGGCAUGUAAACAUGGUUCAACAUAUGAAAAUCAAUUAAUGUGAUACACUACAUUAACAGAAUAAAGGAUAAAAUAAAAAUUACAUGAUCAUCUCAAGAGUAUUUUACAAAAUUUCAUGAUAAAAACAAUCAAUACGUCAAAACAGAAGGAAAUUAUCUCAGCAUAAUAAAGGCCAUAUAUGAAAAGCGAUACCUAACAUCAUACUCAGUGGUUAAAUCUGAAAGCUUUCAAAGCUUUGGAUGCCCACUCUCAAAACUUCUAAGCAAGAUGUUACUGUAAAUCUUAGAUAGAGCAAUUAGGCUAGAAAAGGAAAUGAAAAGCAUUCAAAUUGGAAAGGUAUAUUAGGCCAUUCUUGUAUUACUAGAAAGAAAUAUGUGAGGCUGGGUAAUCUAUAAAGAAAAGAAAUUUCAUUGCCUCAUCAUUCAGCAAGCUGUACAAGCAUCGCACCAGCAUCUGCUUGGCUUCUGGGGAGGCUUCAGGGGGCUUUUACUCAUGGCAGAAGACAAAGCAGGAACAGGCAAAUCACAUAGUGAAAGCAGGAGUGUGGGGGAAGUGCCACACACUUUUAAGGAACCAGAUCAGUGAGAACUCACUAACAUGACGAUGGCACCAAGAUGAUGGUGCUAAAACAUUCAUGAAUAGUACACUCCCAUAAUCUAAUCACCUUCUAUCAGGCUCCACCUCCAAGAGAUUACAUUUCAACAUGAGAUUUGGGUGAAGAAAAAUACACAAACUAUAUAAUUCUGUUUUAGCUCCACUAACAAAAUCUCAUUUCCUUCUCACACUGCAAAAUACAAUCAUGCCUUCCAACAGUUUCCCAAGGUAUUAACUUAUUCCAGCAUCAACUCAAUCAAAAGUUCCAAGUCCAAAGUAUUAUUGGAAGAUGCAUUUUGUUCACCUGUGAGCCUCAUGAAAAUGGAAAUGAAAAGAGAGCAUUCAUGGUUUUGUACGUAGC
This 1234-nucleotide long non-coding RNA is filed under the name Homo sapiens (human). RNAcentral describes it as "HSALNT0285989". Lineage: Eukaryota; Metazoa; Chordata; Mammalia; Primates; Hominidae. The record is from RNAcentral.